CUUGCUUCAUCUUUUCGAUUGUUAGUAUUUGCUUUUUGACGCCGAUAAAACACCACAAUUUCUGGCUCCGAUUGCUGAUUUUCCUUUUCCGCUUCAGCCGCUACAAUUUCUGACCAGAGGUCAACUGCAAUUUCGACUCAAAUUCGUCAUUUAAUUAUUACAUCAUAAAAUAGAACAUAUAAAUUCAUGCAUAUGCAUAUGCGUGUGUGAUGGAGAAACUUCGGUUUUUCAUUAAUUUUCUCUCUCUACCUGUUCGGGAACCCAUGACAAGUAAUCGGAAAGUUGAAGGUCUAACGUUACUGCGCUGUCUUUCAGGCGUCAGAAUUUUCAAAAAUCUGACAGUAGGCGGGAACUUCCUCUACUCCAAUUCUGGAG
This 375-nucleotide long non-coding RNA is filed under the name Olea europaea (common olive). Its description in RNAcentral is "long non-coding RNA (OEUR_LNC001143)". Lineage: Eukaryota; Viridiplantae; Streptophyta; Magnoliopsida; Lamiales; Oleaceae. The record is from RNAcentral.